UGAAUUAAGAGCCCUGAGAGAUGAUCAGGUUGAUAGGCUGGAAGUGGAAGUCCUGCGAGGGAUGGAGCGGACCAGUACUAAUAGCUCGAGGACUUUACCAA
This 101-nucleotide ribosomal RNA is filed under the name Lactococcus garvieae. RNAcentral's name for it is "23S rRNA. Bacterial LSU". It matches the Rfam family "Bacterial large subunit ribosomal RNA", at positions 2824 to 2925 of the family's 2925-position model. The record is from RNAcentral. Lineage: Bacteria; Bacillati; Bacillota; Bacilli; Lactobacillales; Streptococcaceae.